AGUAGGGAAUCUUCGGCAAUGGACGAAAGUCUGACCGAGCAACGCCGCGUGAGUGAAGAAGGUUUUCGGAUCGUAAAACUCUGUUGUUAGAGAAGAAUGUUGAUUAGAGUGGAAAAUUAAUCAAGUGACGGUAUCUAACCAGAAAGGGACGGCUAACUACGUGCCAGCAGCCGCGGUAAUACGUAGGUCCCGAGCGUUGUCCGGAUUUAUUGGGCGUAAAGCGAGCGCAGGUGGUUUAAUAAGUCUGAUGUAAAAGGCAGUGGCUCAACCAUUGUGUGCAUUGGAAACUGUUAGACUUGAGUGCAGUAGAGGAGAGUGGAAUUCCAUGUGUAGCGGUGAAAUGCGUAGAUAUAUGGAGGAACACCGGUGGCGAAAGCGGCUCUCUGGACUGUCACUGACACUGAGGCUCCGAAAGCGUGGGUAGCAAACAGGAUUAGAUACCCUGGUAGUCCACGCCGUAAACGAUGAGUGCUAGUUGUUUGGGGCUAUCC
This 491-nucleotide ribosomal RNA is filed under the name uncultured bacterium. RNAcentral's name for it is "bacterial SSU rRNA". It matches the Rfam family "Bacterial small subunit ribosomal RNA", at positions 353 to 835 of the family's 1533-position model. The record is from RNAcentral.